This 689-nucleotide long non-coding RNA is filed under the name Canis lupus familiaris (dog). Its description in RNAcentral is "lncRNA (ENSCAFG00000056518.1)". Lineage: Eukaryota; Metazoa; Chordata; Mammalia; Carnivora; Canidae. The record is from RNAcentral.
AGGGGACCUGUAAUGGGAUGCUGAUUCUGUCGUGUCCAUGUUGCUGGCUUUCCUCCCCAGGUUGACCAUGAACAAAACCUGCCCCGAUCUCCGCACCCAGGUUUAGGGGCUCCUGGAAGAAGUCCCCCCCGCCCCCACCCGGCCCCUCCCUGUGGUGCAGGCGCAGAGCCGCGGGCGGCUGCUCUGGAAAGCUCCGGGCUCUGCUGAGCCGCUGCUUCCUCCUCCUCCUCAUGCAAUAAAGAUCAAUUUGUCUGGGAGCCACUUCUUUUUGAUGAGAGACCGUUUCUGGGAGAGGUCUCGGGCUUCAAGGAGCACAUACAAGUACCCAAGAAAGUCUCCCACGGGGGGCGGGUAUUGAGGACCUCAGCUGCCAGAGGCUGUGGCAGCGCCGCCGGCCCUGGAGACACCAGGUGAGUGCUGGGAGCCGGGCAGCAGACACGGUGGGCGGCGCGGAGGAGGAGGGCUCCUGAGGGGCUACUGAGCCAAGAGACAGAAACGAAAUAUCAAGGGGCUCCCACUGCUCCCUGUGACGGUGGGGACGGGUGUGCACACGUCACCCGCUGUUGGGUGGAAGAGCAGCCUCUGAGCCCAAAGACCCUCCCAGGUGUGGACCUGCCUGUUGGCAAGAUGCUCCCGGUGUAAACCUGCACGUUCCCAAGAUGCCCCGUGGAGCAGCCGGGGUUGCACAA